Molecule: ribosomal RNA, 179 nt
Filed under: Bacillus sp. (in: firmicutes)
Lineage: Bacteria; Bacillati; Bacillota; Bacilli; Caryophanales; Bacillaceae
Description: Bacillus sp. (in: Bacteria) partial 16S ribosomal RNA
Rfam family: Bacterial small subunit ribosomal RNA
Source: RNAcentral
ACNUGCAGUCGAGCGGACAGAUGGGAGCUUGCUCCCUGNUGUUAGCGGCGGACGGGUGAGUAACACGUGGGUAACCUGCCUGUAAGACUGGGAUAACUCCGGGAAACCGGGGCUAAUACCGGAUGCUUGAUUGAACCGCAUGGUUCAAUUAUAAAAGGUGGCUUNNAGCUACCACUUAC